This 759-nucleotide long non-coding RNA is filed under the name Equus caballus (horse). Its description in RNAcentral is "lncRNA (ENSECAG00000048149.1)". The record is from RNAcentral. Lineage: Eukaryota; Metazoa; Chordata; Mammalia; Perissodactyla; Equidae.
CUGAAACAAUCCUCGCUAGCCCCACCCGUCAUCCAGUCAUUUCCACCUCCACUCCUCCAUCACCUUUCUACUCAUUUACUCACUGCCUUCUAUUUUCUAGGCCACUUGCUAAGUGCUACAAAUAUGGCGAUGAAUAAGAUGGACUCCCUAUCUUCAAAGAACUUAUGCCUGAGGGGGUCAGGUAAAGAAGAUCCUCCCUAUGCAAGGCACCCAUUGUCUCCUGCGGCCUGGUGGAAAACAUCCACAGCAUAGGAUGGAUCAUGCUUACUCAACUCUGGCUGGGAUAAAAUGGUUUUAGCUGGGAUAAAGCCUCAUUGUUAACUUCAGAAUAGGUAGCAUCUCAAUUCUAGAAUGAAGCUAAAAUUCCUUUCUUUCUAUCGUCAGCCACUAUCCAGGUCACUUCUUCCAGAAGUCCCUGUCUGCCCCCUACCCACUUGACUUUGGUCCAAAGGUCCUCUAACUAGGCCACAGAAUAGGCUUUCUGAAGGCACUGCAAAAUAUGAAACACAGCAGGCAGCCUGUAAUUAGCAAUGAAGAUUCAUCCUUCCAUCAUUUUUGCUGGACUGUGCAGAACUUGGGUUCACUGUGUCUGCAGUUUUCAAACUUUUCUACUGAGCCUUUCUCCUGGUAGCUCUGGGUCAAAAUAAAAGGAAACUAAUUUUAUCAUUAAUAAAAAGUUUGUUCUAACUUUUCAAUGUUUCCAUGGUUGCCAGUAGCUGGAAAAAUAGCUUUCAAAAAGAGGAAACCCUUUUACACAUA